AAGUAAGAAAAAUCAAAUAAGAUUUAUGCAGGGAAAUGUUAUCCGACCUCCUGUUACAAUUAUUGACAAGAAGAAGAUUUACAUUUUACAUCUUACUGUCUGGCACAAUUUCCUUAUGCCAAACACAUUCAGAAGCAAGUUGUGUUAUGCUAGAUGAAUGGAAAUCCCAGAGCUCGACCUCAGAUGACAGUUCUUUGAAUUGAGUAGAACAGUUGCUCAAUCAAAAAAUGAAAACAGGAUAAAGGAACAACAUACAGAGAAGUAAAGAGUGAGAACAUAAAUUAAAGGGUUAGGUAAAAAAAUGGCGGAAACCGAAGCUGCAGCACGAAGUAGUCAUUUUCUGUUCAACAGCCACAGGAGCUACAGUAGGUUCCACUGCUGAUGUAUGAGUAAGACAGAGAUCAGGCUACUCAGAAGCUUACUUCAAAGAAAUAUAUGAAAUAAAUAAAAAUAUUUACCACAUCAACUUAAAGGAAAUCUAUUUUUGCCAGUUUGACAAAUGUUGUAGGAAUUUCGAGACUCCAGUGGAAUGAUUCCGGGUAGAUUCCAGGACUUCAAAGGUCUGCAAGAUAUUUCUACAGAAAAAUUAGCAUACAUAACCCAACAUAUCCUUUCAAGAACUAUAGAUUAAGCAACACAUUACUUCAACUAAUCACCCACAAAUCAUUAAUUUUUGCAGAAGUAAGAGUUGCAAUACAUGCUUUCAAGGUGGCAAGAGGAAUUGUUGUUGAAAGAGCAGUCACAAGUGACGCUGCCCUCAAACCCUUUCCUCAAAUCCAAAACACUCCAAUUCCCUUCUCCACUACAUGGAUCCUUGCUAAAAUCCUAGUCCUUCUACCCUAGCUACUUCUUUUAAAGCCUCAACUGCAAUGCAAAACACAUACCCCAAGAAAAACAAUUACCUAGAUUUAUAUAUGAACAUUUUCUUUCUUGAUAUUCUUUCAUGUUAUCCAAGAAAAACUAGAACAUACGAAAAUGAGAUACUUUGUUUCUCGGAGACCCAAUUGGGGGAGUAACCCAAAAAAAAAAACCUUUUCAAAAUCUUGAAGACAAUGAAUGAUAUAGGAUAUCAUAGUUAUUAAUUAAGGCUAGUGAAAAACAUUAAGAAUUUUAUUCAAUAUAGGAUAUCAUAAUUAUUUCGGCCAAAGAAUGAUGAUAUUGAGAGAGAGAGAAAAUAAAGAAUUAAAACAUAUUUUUCAAGAGAGAGAGACAAGAGAUGUCACGACCCGAAUCCUAGAUUCAUAAUUGGCACAUAGGCAAGGUUCCCCUUCAAGGUUCCAUACCUAUGCGAACUCAAACUUACAUACAAUCUUAUCCUUCAAAUAACUCAAUCAAAGUUCAAUGCAGCAGUAACAACAAAAUUAACUUCACAAUAUAAUUCGAUUGUUUUAAUACAAGAGUUAAUACAAUUUUAUAGUUGUGGAGUACUAACUAGACAUAAGGGCAAAUACAAAUUUUAACAAAAGAGCAGGUCCUAAAGGUACAACAAAAUGACCCGCUAACAAGCUAUAAGCCUGAAAAGAUAAAUAAUGAGAGGGUGAGUUCAACAACUCAGUGAGUAGACAACAUUCAAUAUACAUGCACGACGUAAUGCAAUAAUGAGAAAUAUAUAUACAAUUAUGGCUCUAGAUUCUUAUAGAAGGUUUCUCAAAUAGGCCAUAACAAGAAUAUCAGAAGGUAAAGCUCGUCAGAAAAUCAAAAUGCAAUAAGCAUGAGGCUCCAUACUGUGAGAUGAUUAGUCCAUACAGGUUGAUGACUCCCCUGACCAACUAGGAUUCAGAUACGAUGUGCACAAAGACUAACAAUACCCUGUUAGCAUAGGUAUUUUGACUGGCAUACCAUAGGUUCAUAAUCAUAAUCAAAUAGACAUAUUCAUAUAUCAAAGCUCAACUCAUGACAUCAAUCAAAUGCGAAGCUAUAAAUUCAGAAGCCAAUUUAAAAUAUAUAUUGGUUCAUAUCAAGAAUUCAGAUUUAACAAUUGAUCAUGCUUUAUCAUAACAAGGAUAAUACUUAGCAUAUAUAUUAUCAAGAAGCAUAAUCCAAUUCAUAUUAACAAAUCAAAUAUUUAUAAUAUUUAUCAUGCAUAUGGAAAAUUAUCCACUCACCUGACUCGAAAGCAAACAGCACUCAAAAGCAGAUACCGAAGGAAAUCCUAUUAAUGUCUCAUCGGUAGAAUAUCAGGAUUAUCUGAAUACAAAGGAGACAUAUUCAAGAACAACUCGAAAGAACAUAUAACCUAUUUAACACACUUAACUAAGAGUCUAUUUCAUAACCCUAUAUGUUUUUAGACCAAACUAGUUAUUUUUCCAAAAACCCAAAAUUAAACGGUGUUCUCGAAAUCUAAUCCAUAAUAAAACAAAUAAUAAAAUUGGUAAUAAUUCACUAAAUAAACCUCAUUUACUCAUCAAACCAAUCUGAAAAAAGCUAAUAUUACAGAUAGGGACCAAUCUGAAAUUUAUCAUAUUUUUAGGGCCAAAUUGUAAUUUUCAUCUAAUUGGAGGACCAAACUAAAAAUAUCACAAAUUAAUGACUAUAGUGGAAUUAUGUCCAUAAUUCAUCCUCAUUUCUGUCCAGAAUCUCUAAUUAUGCUCCAGGGACCAUUCUGGAAAUUUUCCAAAUUUUUAGGGUCAAAUUAUAAUUUUUGUCAAAUUGGAGGACCAAAUUAAAAAUAUCAUAAAUCCAUGACUAUACUGAAAUUCUGACCAUAUUUAAUCCUCAAUUCUAUCCAGAAUAUCUCAUUAUGCUCCAGGGACCAUUCUGGAAGUUUUCCAAAUUUGUAGGGUCAAAUUGUAAUUUUUGUCAAAUUGGAGGACCAAAUUGAAAGUGUUAAAAUUUCAUAACUAUACAGGAAUUCUGCCCAUAAUUCAUACUUUAUUCUGUUCAGAAUCUUGGAAUAUGCUCCAGGGACCAAUCUGUAAUUUUUCAAAGUUUGGGGACUAAACUGUAAUUUUCACAAAUUGAGGGACCAAACCGAAAUUUUGUCAUCUUCAACCUCAAACCCAGAAUUUCAACAGAAAACCUACUGUUCUUUCCAGAUUCCUAACUCAAAAUUCACCAUUUACACAAAUUAUAACUCAAAAUCAUUAUCAUUGCCUACAAUCUCUCAAAAUCAACUAAACAAUCCAUUACCCAAAACAAUCAAUCCAUAACAUUCAAAUUAAUUCAUCAAUCCACCCAAAAUACAAUCUUCAAAACCCUAAUAUUUAUCUAAACAGAAAUUAAAAGCUCAAAUAACACACAUUUAUACAUUUAACAACCUAAAUCUUACCUUUAAACUUAUUUCCUCCUACUCUCUUUUAUUUCUCUUAUCUUUCCCUCUUUUCUUUUCUUCUUUUUCUUUCUCCCUUCACUCCUGCCAACUCUCUCUCAAAAUUUGCAGAUCUCUUCUUGUUUGUUUUUUUUUUUUUCUAUUUAUACUUAUUAUAUUUAUUCAAUUACAAGAAUACCCUUUAUUUAUUUAUACCUAUUUUUAACCCUUCAAGAGCUUUAUUGUCUUUUCCUACUCAUUUUAUUUCAAAACAUCACAAGAGGGAUUAAAAUUGUUUAUAUUAUAAAUAUCCAUAAACCAGUAAACACCAAAACUUACUUAUAUUAUAACUUUUCAAACUUUAC
Molecule: long non-coding RNA, 3612 nt
Filed under: Populus trichocarpa (black cottonwood)
Lineage: Eukaryota; Viridiplantae; Streptophyta; Magnoliopsida; Malpighiales; Salicaceae
Description: long non-coding RNA (PTRI_LNC004330)
Source: RNAcentral